Long non-coding RNA from Dermochelys coriacea (leatherback sea turtle), 1943 nucleotides. RefSeq lists it as uncharacterized. The transcript has 3 exons. The record is from RefSeq and is a predicted model, not a curated record. Lineage: Eukaryota; Metazoa; Chordata; Testudines; Dermochelyidae.
ACUCAAGGCAACGGUUCGGAGGCCGGGGGCUGCUCCCAGGCUGGGGCAGGGCGAGUCCGGGGGGCGUUUUCAAUCCAGGAUCAAGGGAGAUUUUAAACACUCAGCAAAAACCCCCUUUCCGGAACCACAGUAAAUUGAUCCAGAUGGGGCAUCUCGCACAGGAGAACACCAUUAUAUUCGGAAGCAGCCCAUGACUGUGGAGUAUGUCCAGACUCCAGAGACUGGGGAAAAUGAAGAUCAUGUGGUAAACAGAAUGGUGGCAGUCCAUCAAAGCUUUCUAAGCCUCAUUGAGAGAAAAGAAUGAAUGGAAACCCAAAACUUCUGAGAGCUCUUAACACACUACAAAUGGAGUUUAGAAUGGAGUAUAUCACUGAAGCUGGACUAUACUGAUGUCUGUUUGCCAUGCAAAUCCAUUCACUGUCUUAAAGUUGCAUGCUACAGAUGCUGCCUGAAUCUGUUCUCAUUUUCAUAAUAGAGGAUGACCCUUAUAAAUUAAAAAUUAUUCUAAUUCAAAAGAAAGAAAGAAAAUUAAGAAAUUAAUUAGCUUCAACCUUUUUGUGCAAAGCCUAAAGCAAUUAACAGAACUAGCUUCUUCUGAAACUGUUUAAUCUGUUUAACAAAAGACUGAAAAUACUUCCUUUUCUGAUGAGGGAUGGGAGACAUUGCUUCAGAUCUAAUCUGAGGUUUAAUUUAAUGAAGGAUACUAACAUUGCAAGAAAGAAACAUGCACAUCAAGCCAAUAUACACUAUUGUUCACAUAUAUACAACUAAGCUGCCUAUUAGGCCCCACUCCUGCACUAAGAACUCCAUGCUCAGAUCCUUGCAUUCAUAGUGAGCCCUCCAGGAUAUGUCUAACACUGCAACUGGGAGCAAGUCUCCCAGCACAGAUUAACAGACUCAAAAUAGCAAUGUGUGGCUGGUGCUCAGGCUCUCAAGACCACCUGAACCCCUAUGCUUGAGAGCCCAAGCUCCAGAGCCGGAACAUCCACAGUUCAGAUCUGCAGAACAUAGCGUUUUUCCUUAGAGUGGCAUUUCAACACACAUGAGCCUUAUUCUGAUCUCACUUACACUGGUGCUACUCAAUUGGCUUUGAGUAAUGAAGUUACUCAGUUUUUAAGGUCUGGCUUGACAAAGCCCUGGAUGGGAUGAUUUAGUUGGUGUUGGUCCUGCUUUGAGCAGGGGGUUGGACUAGAUGACCUCCUGAGGUCUCUUCAAACCCUAAUCUUCUAUGAUUCUACUCUCAAUAAAUAAUGGUGUAACUAAGAGCAGAAAUUUGCCCACAUAUCUUUUUCCAUUUGCUGAUCUAAAAUAAUGGUGGAGCAUUUUUUAUGAAAGGUCUGGAAGGAGUUGAAACUUUCAUUCCUUAUUAAACAGAAAACUUCUCGAACCUCUUUGCCUUACAGGGCUCAGUUUGAAAGAGAUGAUUGUAUGUCAUAGUCAUUCCAGAAUAAAUAACAGUCAUAAAUAAAACAACUACUUGCAUAGUACAUUUUUUCAUAGCUACCCCACAGAUACAAGUAGGAAAUGUCUUUGUUGUUAUUAUUGAUUAUAUCCAGUAUUACUUUAAGGUACACAGUGCAAUGCAUUUGUAUAUAUUUGUAAAAUGAUUACUAGAUCCAGCUAUAUUCUUUAAUAACUUGUGCUGACUGAUGUGUACAAGUAAUAAAUGUUUAACAGAUGAUAAGAUAAAGCCAAUUGAAAAGGAUAUUAUCUUAAGAUAUGAAAGUUAAGACAAUGUAUACUAAUGUUUAAUAUAUGAAUUCAGUUUAUUAUGAAGUAUGCUACCCAGGGCUGUGUAAUGUAUUACAUAGCAAUAAUUAAGAAUUUAUAAAUGUCUUGUUGAUAUAAAGUGUUAUUGAACAAAAUUUCUAUAAAAUAUAUGACUCUUAACCAUUCACUGCGUGCUAAGGCAUGGCUGUAUGAAAACAUUAUUAAGCAAUAAA